This is a long non-coding RNA of Carassius gibelio (silver crucian carp), 2034 nucleotides long. RefSeq lists it as uncharacterized. The transcript has 6 exons. Lineage: Eukaryota; Metazoa; Chordata; Actinopteri; Cypriniformes; Cyprinidae. The record is from RefSeq and is a predicted model, not a curated record.
GCCUGAGAUGGAAAUGUUACGCCUCUUAACAUAAGUGUGAAGCCUUGUCCGGCCAGAGCGACGAGACAAAAACAUAAAACCCAUUAUAAAUGUGAUAUAAACAUGAUUUCUAGUCAUGCUUGGGAACAGUGCAGCAGGCGGAUUCUUUGAAGGAGCGUACCUUGGUCUUGCAGCAACCACAUGUGACGACCUCGGGCCGCUUUGUCCGCAGUGAAACCUUAUUUGGCGAUCCACAAUGCAAAGUUGAUGUAUUUCCUCAGCGACCAGCAUUGAUCAGCUCCAGGCAUGACAAAGCGGAUAUCGACCUCCUUUGGAAUGCCAAACAAAGUAGGUUCGCUUUCACAGUGAAACACACAGUGUCUAUAUGACAUGGCGGCAGCGGCAACAAUACUACAACGACAAUAAAAGGUAAGCCUACUUUAUUUGCAUGAACAUCUGGGCGGCGUUAUGCAAAUCUUCCCACACACUGACGUAGAUAAGAAUUUCAGGGGGCGAAGGUUAGAUCAGCAGCAUUUGAGUGAUACAUCUCCACCUUGGUCAGGGUCCAUUAAACUCCUCUUCUGACCCAGUAAUUACCCCUAUCUGGAGACAAGGUCAGAAGGCGAGUGUGGCUACCUAUACACCACCUCAGAAAAGCCAGGACUCGAGGCAGCGAUCUUGCAAAAACUUAAGAAGGAUCUUAGACAAGUCAUCUUGGCCAAUAUGCAAUCUUUUCAACUGUGCAAUCGCAGACGGCUCGUAAGCAGAUCCUAACAGCCAAUCCGUUUAAUGCGUAAUGUGUGUUUGGAAUCAGGUUAAUAUUUUCUUCUUUUGCCAAUGAAGAAGGUUUCCACAGAAUGUAGAAACAUUUCAUAAAACCUUUCUGCAAUGAAGCAAACAUGAGGCCAUUAGAAAGACUUUAUUUAUUGUUUAUUGACAUUUUCAGCAACAUUUCAGGUACUUAAUGACGUUACUCCAAACCCACUUAACGUAGGUUUACUACUUAAAAAAACCUACUUAAAGUAGGUUUGGAGUAGGUCAAAUUUUGACUGUCUAUGACUGAAAGUAAUUCGUUCUAUGUGCUUUUGAAGAGACACUUACAUCUUGUGCAGGCGAGGUGUUACUUCACUUUUUUAUUUUUAGUUUGUACUACGUGUGUAUCUCUAUUGCUUUAGUAACAUGAUGCUACUCCACAGGACUUAAGAAAUAAUGCUCAAUUUAAUAAAAUUUAGACAAACUGUUUUACAUAUUUGUUUUUAUUUUGCAUCAAGUGUUUUUAAUCCGUUUCUUUUUCAACUUUGAUCUGUUUUUUUAACUGUAGUAUCCGCUGACUUUUGAGGUUUGAAUUGAGGAUUGUCAGUUGCUUCAAGAAGCCUAUGUUGGGCCUGAUGUCUCUCGCCUCCAUGACAUGGUCAAUGGCAUCCUCCACCAUCAUGUCAUGGCUUUUCUUGCUUGGAAUUUCAGACAAGACCUUCAAGCUCUUCUCCACUGCCGCAGCAUUCAGGAUGUUUGAAUUGAGGGUUAUCAGCUGCUUCAAGAAGUCCCUGUUUGGCCUGAUCCAUCUCUUGUCUAUGACGUGGUCGAUGGCAUCCUCCAACAACAUUUCAUGGUGGAUCAUCAGGACCUUGUGGAUGAAUUCUGAAGCUGGGAAUAAGUCCUUGCUGAUGUCAAACCUGUGUUCAUCCGUUACAAGCACGCCGUAGUUCAGGACCAUUUGGACCUGCGACACACAACUGAUGUGCAUCAACCAGCUCUACUCCAGCUUCUGCUUCAGGAUCUGGGACACGAUGUGCAACAACCAGAUCUACUUCAGCUUCUGCUUCAGGAUCUGGGACACGAUGUGAAUCAACCAGAUCUACUUCAGCUUCUGCUUCAGGAUCUGGGACACGAUGUGAAUCAACCAGUUCUACUUCAGCUUCUGCUUCAGGAUCUGGGACACGAUGUGCAACAACCAGCUCUACUUCAGCUUUUGCUUCAGGAUCUGGGACACACGAUGGCUCUGGAUCAGGCUGUGCUGGGAUCUCAAUAGGCUCCACUCUGCUUUUCUGGAAGGAU